CAUGGCCUUUUGAUAAGUUAAUUUAAGGUCUAACCUGCCCAAUGAUUUUAAAUUUAAUGGCCGCGGUAUUUUGACCGUGCAAAGGUAGCAUAAUCAUUAGUUUUUUAAUUGAAAGCUGGAAUGAAGGGUUGAAUGAGAAAAUAACUGUUUUUUUAAUAUUUAAUUAAAAUUUUAUUUUUAAGUUAAAAAGCUUAAAUUUUAUUUAUAGACGAGAAGACCCUUUAGAGUUUUAUAUAAGUUUGUUUAAAAGUUUUUUAGUAUUAAUUUAAUUAUAGAUUAGCUUAUAUUUAAUUGGGGUGAUUGAAAAAUUUAAAUAACUUUUUUUUUUAUUAAACAUUUAUUUAUGAUUAAUUGAUCCAUAAAUAGUGAUUAUAAGAUUAAAUUACCUAAGGGAUAACAGCGUUAUUUUUUUUGAGAGUUCUAAUCGAAAAAAAAGAUUGCGACCUCGAUGUUGGAUUAAAAUUAAAUUAUGGUGUAGAGGCUAUAAUCGUA
Molecule: ribosomal RNA, 492 nt
Filed under: Thymogethes fumatus
Lineage: Eukaryota; Metazoa; Arthropoda; Insecta; Coleoptera; Nitidulidae
Description: partial 16S ribosomal RNA
Source: RNAcentral